Molecule: long non-coding RNA, 37639 nt
Filed under: Gossypium raimondii (Peruvian cotton)
Lineage: Eukaryota; Viridiplantae; Streptophyta; Magnoliopsida; Malvales; Malvaceae
Description: long non-coding RNA (GRAI_LNC007052)
Rfam family: MIR7504 microRNA precursor family (bases 12258-12381)
Source: RNAcentral
CGGUCAAAGCGACCAGAGUCGGGCCUAUUGAUUCGGCCCGAACUCCAUUUAAUUAGAGCCACGCGCCAAGGCCGAAGCGUUCGCCAAAUACCCUCUCCCCGCUCAAACCUUGGAAGGUCCAAACGUCUCAACAACCGAAAUGAUAUCCUCACGUGCCUGUGCAGUCUCAAAGACGCACAACCAAUUAAACCUCCACUUGGGAGACAGGAAGGCACCAGGGCGUCAAAUAGUAUACCAGAAUAACCGUCUCGGUCGAACGCGCCAAAGGCAUUGAAUCCCAACACAGUUCUCAAACAGCUAGGAAGUGCCACGUGGCAAUCACAAAGACAAUGAUUGUGUCAUCCGGGUUUUUUUUUUUUUUUUGUUAAGGGAAGCCAUUAAAAUACAGAGCACGAACUCAGGAGUUUUCGCAGAGGAGAGAAUAAAAUAUAAAAGAAAGACAGAGAACGAAAGCAAAAGAAGAAUUAGAAAGAAAAGGAGAAAGUAGAGAACGAGAGAAGUAUUUCAAUAACAUCUCUUUUUAAAAUUUUUUUCUUACUUCAAUCAGUAAUUUUCUGAUUUAAUAUUUUGGUGAAUUUGGUUGCAGGGUUAUUUAGAAUCUUCUCUCUUUUUUUCACUUUUUUUCCUUCUUUUAGUUUCACCCUUUCUCUCAUCCGCUCUCCUCUCAACGAGAAGAAGGAAAUUUUCAGCAGGUAGAAAAAUGAAUUUUGUUGAUAAAAUGUCGAACGGAAUGCGUAGAGUUUGGACCGGUCUCGCCACACGCCUCGGGGUUCGUAAAAGCGGUAAGUCUCAACUCUCAACCGUCUUAAUUCUAACUCGUCGCCAAUUUGAUGAUUUUAGCAAGGCUGAGAUCAAGAAAGGUCUCCUUUUCUCUUUAGUUUUUCUUUUUUUUGAAAGUUUUCUCCUAUAACUGAAAUGUUGAUGACAAUGACCCGUACUUCCUUUAAAAUGAUUGAAGUGAUUAUACUCAAUUAGCCAUAUUUGUUGGGGGAAGGAACAGGGCUGUUGAAGCUGCAAAAGGAAGUAAGCUCGUGUGAAUACGGGGAUGUGCAUGUGAUGUGGGAGUUGCUGAGGAGAUCCGAAAUAGAAAUGGGUGAAUCCCCCAAAAGAUGCAAAAAGCGACGAUUGAGAAAAUGCUUUCAAUGGAGAAGGUCUCCUUUUCAUCGUCGCUGCUUCUCAUGAGCAUGGGCAUUACUUUUCCUUUCAGGGUUUCAGUCAAUUCUUUAUUAUUAUUUCAUCCCCUCUCUCUGUGUGUAUAUCCCUGGUUAGAAAGGGUUUUUUCCCCAUCGUAUCGGUCCAAACAAGAGAGGAAAUAAGGAGGGAUUGGUUUUAUAAGAUUGCUCCUAUUCCCUCUUUUUCUAUAUACCAACUAUUUGUAUAUAUCAGCUGCCUGCCAAGUGAUUGCGUUCUCUAUCUCGUACAUUGUCAUAAACUAUAUAUAUACUUCGGUAUAUGUGUUUUCUGAUGUCCUUUAAAACAUGCUGCCAGUGCCAUGUUUUACGUAUUUGAUGUUUUCACGAAAAUUUGCAGAGGAAAAAAACAUGGUUCAUCUAUGAUUUGGCAAUUGGUUGUUGUUGACUUUCCUUGUGAUUCUUCUUUUCUUUUUUUUUUACAUAUAUUUCGUUUUCCACAUGUUGAUUUUAAAAUUCCAAAUCAAAUACUAAGCUCUGAAUUCAAGCUUCCAAUCAUCACGAAGUCCAUACUUCACUACAUAUAUCUGCUAAGAUUAUGGAGACACUGGGUCAGAAUAGAACGAAUUUGGAUCAACCAAAGCGUUACAACUUUAGCUCAUUUUGAUAGAAAAUCUUGCUGCUUGUUGCUCUUCACGCCAAGUAUAUUGAUGCAUUCCAAUUAGGGCUUAACAAAGAAACUAAGAAAAUCCAAAAAUCGAUUUAAAUCAAUGUAUUUAAUUUGAUUUUAGGUUGGUAUAUUAUUUAAAUUGCACAAUUCAAUUUGGAUUUGAUUUAUUUGAUUUUAGGUUGGUGUAUUAUUUAAAUCGCACAAUUCAAUUUGGAUUUGAUUUUUUCACAUGGAACCCGUUUUAUCUAUAAAUUGAUCAUUUCAAUAUUUACAUAGACUAAUUCAUUUAACUCUAUUAUUAUUUUUAUUAACUAGAUAUGAUCAUAAAAAAUAGUUGCAAAAAUAUUUGAUAAAAAGAUUGUAAUUAUAUUAGAGUAAGUGAAUCAUUUUUUAAUAUAAUAAUUAUAAGCAUAAGCAUAAUUUUAAUUUUAGAAAAAUAGUUUAUUAAAAUUUAUAAUAUUUUAUUUAUAAAAUAAAACAACUUUUCACAAUCAUAUAUGUUUUAUAGUGACGAAUUUAAUCAAUUAUAUGACAUAGUGUAAUCACUCAGUUAUAAUUAAUUAAAUUAAUUCAAAAAAAUGACACAGAAAAACAUUACGUAUACUAAUGGUUUAUGUAUUAACUUUAGUUUUAAAUUUUUUUAAAUAUUUUUAUUAAUUGCUAUGAUAUUAAUUUAAUUAUAUAAUUCAUAUAAAUGAAUCUAGAAUGAAAAAAUCUAGACUUACACUAUUAAAAUUUUUUAGGACCAAAUUAAAUAUUUUAAUUUUUAUUGUAUACGGUUUUGAUUUCCAAAAGCCGAACCCAACCAAUACACCCUCUAAAUUCCGAUCAAUCUUCCAAAAUUUUAUUAUUAGCGGUUUUACCAUUUAGAUGGAAUAUUGUUCGCCAUUCGAACUCUAGCAUCAAAUCUCACUUGUCUUGUUAUUCACCGUAGGCCCAGUACCUGCUGCCAGAUGCCUCUUUAGAAAUUGCAGGUGAAAAAAGAGAUGGUCCAGUCCAGUCUCUCUUUUAAAAAAUGAAGAUGGGCUUAAAACCAUCUUUUUCCACCUAUUGGAUGGUAAAGCUCCUUUUCCUACUCUUGAGUCCUAGAUAUUCCAACAACUAAACAGGCCUAAUCCCCCGGGACACAGAACCACUUUACUGGCUGCGGCUGGACCACAAAGCUUCUUUCAUUUAGGAGAGUAAAUUGCUGCUAGAUAUAACGAAGGCAUUUCUAUUUCUUCUAUUUCUAAUGCUUAUGACCAAAACUUAAAGACUCUAUGUUACUCCCAAGUGCUUCGCAGCUUAUCAAUAAUGAAAUAUCGAAUCCUAUUUUAGUCCUAAUUUCAGUACUGCUUUCUAGGGUGUUGGUGGCGUCCAUUUUUAGAGUAAGCUUUUACUCCUUGGCUGCGUCUUGUAGCCCUUGCAUGCGUACAACUAAAGUUAAUUAUUACCAAAAGCUGGCAGGCAGCCUUUUUAGUUAUUAACUUACAGCAACACCUGUAGACAAAAUCGUCACUUUUCACGCUUAUCACCUCCAUUCUUCCACAAGCCACCGAUUGUAAUAAAGGGUUGUUUCAAAACUGGCGGUCACUAUUCUUCCCCCUGAGCUUUAAUGGUUGGUAAGUGUUUAAUCGGUAGUAUUGCAGUAGUAAUAUUUAAUGGAGUGAGGGAAAUCGAACGCCGUGCCUCUCGGCAUACGCGAAGCCAACGCUAUAUCAAUUGAGCUACAACUUUUCUGCAACUCUAUUUGCUUCCCUAAUUUUCAUUAGGGCUAUGGCGAAUCCAUCUAUGUCUGAGAGAAAGCAAGCAAACGAUGAGGUGUGUAACAGAGAAACCAAAGUGCACGGCAACUGGCUCAAAACAAAUGCUAAAAAGGGUUUCCGAGACACGAACGUACGUGGCGAAUGGCUCGCGUUCCCAGCAAACAUUUUUUGUUUUUUGUUUUACCGCAUUGAUGUCUUCAUUCAUUUCUCACAAUGACACUGUUCCCUCCCAUGCAUAAAUCAAUGGCAUUUAAUCCUUUUCUGCAUCCCUACAGCCAUGAGAGAUCAGACAAUGAAACUCACAUGCCUUCUUUUAUUAUUUCACUUACCCCACCAUUAAAGUUCCAAACUUUUUUACAUUAUAUAUUUUUUAUAUUAUCAAGCACACUGCAUAUUCAAAGCCUCAAAGGCAUGGCAUGGGCCGCCCUUAGGCACUAGAGACAUAGUUACUAGCCACCUUUCUUCAUUGCCUUAUCUCCACGGAUUUUCCGGUCGACUUUGUUUGAAGUUGCUCCAUUUUGGGGGUGACGAAAGCUGGAUUCCAUUUUUUUUUUUGUCUUUAAAUAUAUUUUGGUGGCUGGAAAAUAGUUUCAUGCGCUGACUCGGUUGCUGCAUAAAAGGCAUUUUUUCCAGGGUGUAAUUGUAGUUGGGAAAAAUCAACUCUUUGUUCGGAGGGGGACUCAUCAAUUCAUCUGCCAAUAACACUGGCAUUAUGAAGGUUCCUGGGAUUUGGGUUUUCUUCUUUGUGAUCGGGACAGCUUUGUUCGUCUUUGCCUUCAGCAGCUCCUCCAUUCCUGGUAAUGUUUUACCUCGUACUAGUUCAUUUCUCUUCUGUUAAUUGGCCUACAUAACCAUCAAGACAAAAUUCCUGUGUUUGUUUUCAUUACUGGAAUUCGGCUAAUAGCUGCAUUGGAAGAUGGCUUAAGUUAUAGUUAAUGCAGCUUCUUAACAUUAUUUAUCUGUUAAUGAUCUGACUGAUCUUAUCAAAAGCACUCUCUAGCUACCACUACCUACAUUUGAAAUUUAUUAAACUUUUGUUUUUAAGAAAUUUAGAAGAUUUAAAAAUAUAAGUUAAAUGGUUAAAAUUUUUUGUAUUAAAUUUAAAUUCAUUACAAUAUCAAUUGCCAAUAAAUUUAAAUUAAUUUUAAUAAUGUAAAUAAUUGGGUUUAUGUUUUUGAAAUGGGAAAAGAAAAUAAAAAUAAAAUUCAAAAUACAACAAACCAAAAACUUAAGUUUAACUUUUCUUUUGUGCAAUUAUAUUUGAGAUGUUGAUUGUUUAGUCCAUAAACAAUGAACCUUCAAUCUACAACUCUGGUAAACUGCACAUGGCUCGUUGCUAUUUAAAGAAUUAAAUGACCUCACUGCAUGCUAUUUCUUGUUAUAUAAGUUUGUAGUGUCAAUAAUUUUGUUACCUUCAAAGAAGAAAAAGGUUAAUAAUUUCGGUCAACCGUCUCAAUUCUCAAGCUGUCUUUUACAGAGAUUUGUUUUGGAUCUUCAUUCUUUGGGUUUAAAUAAAUAAUUUAGUGAUCUAUUUCAAUCGUAUUUAUAACUAGUUGAUCAAUAAUUGCAGGCUUUGGUUGGCCCAUAUCUAAAUCAUGCCAAUAAAAUGAUGUAGCUUAAAAUUGCGGUUUUGCAUGUUAAAAAGUAAAUGCAUGACGUUAGUAAAUCAAGUUAAAUAGCAGCAACCAGAUACAUGUCACUGUUGGAAUCAAUCAUUAUUACAUGUUUAAUAGUGACCAGCUUCUUAAAUGUCAGGUAUGGAUUUGCAGCAUGUUGAUGGUACGAGUAUGAGUGAAACAAGUAGAAAGCUGAAGGUAUACACAUUCACUACAUGCAUGGCCACAAUCUGCAAAGAGAACCCUUUUCUUUCGUUUCCGAUUUUGAGACAUUUUCUCAUCUGAAAUUUGCAGGGGAGUGGAUACAGUCCAAGCAAUGAAAAGAGGAGCAAUGUGGAUGUGGAUGAUUACGAUCCUAUUGAUCCAGUUCCAAGCUCCAAAGCAUCCAUAAAACCUGGUCCUAUUGAGCAUGGUACUCCUCUUAUUCCCUACAUCCCAAAACCCUCACCUCCAGAUCAUCCCAAAAUUGGUGGUUCCACUUAGCCAUCCAAAAAAAUCUUCUGAAGAACAUGCGAAUGUAAUAUCUGUAUCGUACCUCGUGUUUUAACCAGCUUUGUUCUCUGAAUCCCGUCUAUUCAAUAACUUCAAGUUGCCUAUAUGUAUGCAGCUUAUGCUUGUGUUGAAUCUGUUUGGCAUUGGCCUUGUAUCCUGAAUAUCACUUCUUUUAAGUUAAUUUGAUUGCCAUUUGUAUUGGUUUUCCUUCAUAUCAUCAAAUCCUUGAUCUCCAAACCCAUCAAUUAUCAUAAAAUUCAUAGCUGAAGUGCCAAUUUCUUUCAUGACCCCAGCAGCUUAAUGAAACACACAGAAGGGUCAUGAUAAAAAGAGUUUGUGAAAGCGACUGCUUUCAUUUGGUCCCCUUUCCUUUGGUUAUCUAUGCCUUAUGGAAAGGGGUAGAGGAGAUAUCAUAAUCACCAAAGCAAUGGGACCGAAGAAAGCUAGCUCAUUUAUCCUGCCCAUUUUGCUUCAACUACCAUGUGAUAGAGUUUGAGAACGUUGCUUGAAAAUGGAUUAGUUACUUUGAUUACAAUGACAUGUUGAUUGGCUUCCCCAUCCAGCAUGGUUUAAUGCAAAACCAGUUUGUUUUUGCUUGACUGGUUUUGUAGUAAAUGGUGGUUCAACGGGUGAGCAAAAUUUGAUUCGGCUCGUAAAAGUGAAAAAAAAUUGAGUUUCAAAUUAGUUAAAUUAAAUUAAUCGAGUUAAUUGAAUCAACUCAACUUUUUUUUUCGAAUUUUGUGUUCAAAUUGAAUUAAAUUUUUGAAUUAAUAAACCAAAUGACAAACUCUUUUACUUCCCUUCCCCUCAACUCCCUCAAAUCCUUUUAUUUUCUCUCAAAAAUUUUACUUCCCCAAACCUUCGAAAUUUUUUUACUUCUCUCCCAAAGCUUUUACUUCCCCCAAAUCCCCUACCUUUUAUUUUAUCCCCAAAACUUCUACUUCCCCCUAAAUCCCUCAAAACAUUUUUCUUUUACUUUCAUCUUAAGACUUUUACUUUCCCCAAACCCUCCAAAAAUUUUUCCAUUUAUUAUAUAUUUUUAUUUUUAAAAUAGAAGGCAACAAGAAUCAAUAGAUAAUUGAAGCAACUAAGCAAAGAAAGAAGCUAACACGUAUAUAAAAAAUUAAUAAAUAAAUUAUAAAGGGAUGAAAGUUAAUAACAAAUUUGAUUAAUGUGGGCAAAUUUGAUUAUGGUAGGUGGCAGUGACUAUAAUGACCCAAAGUCAUUUUUUUUAUUUAAUUUGAAAAAUAUAUUUGAUUCGAUUCGAAUUCCAUAUCAUUCAACUUGAUUCGAGAAAAUUUCAAAUCGAGUUAGGAUGAUAAAAUAUGAUUCGUCAACUCGAUUAACUCGAAAUCUUUUCAUUCGAUUCAAUCAAACGCCCACCCUUAAAUACAGCUGGAGGAACUGUUAAUCUCUCACUUGUUUACCAUGGAGAGAAAACCAGUGGGGGGAUAACUUUUUUUUUUUGGUAAAGAAGAAAUUACAACUCAAGUAUCAAACAUUUACAAAAAGUCAUCACAUAAUUCUCAUCAACCAACCGUAACUCCGAUUCUCUCACUCACACAACCUUGACAAUGGUAUAACUUUAAUACCAAUUAUACAAUGCUUGUCAUUCAUGUAUUCAAAAAAGAAAUCCUAUUUCUUCAGCGGGGGAACAAAUAUUUUUGUUGCGUCUGCUGCAAGCAAUAGCUUCAUUAAGCAAAGGUAAAAGCCAUGAUAUGAUAACAGCCGACAUAGUGAUCAAUUAGACAAACAGACUACUCUGAUCAGAUUUGUAUGAAAUUGGGAUCCUUUUAUGGAGAUGGUCCUUUGAUGGAAUUUAAUGGAAGCUUGUUUUUGGUGUCCCAAAAUAUUGUGAUUAUGAUUUGUGGAAUUUUGGGAAAUUUAGGUCGUCUUCUUUUUUCUCUUUGUGUACUUCAUGAAUCAAAUUUGUUCACGACAGAUUCCUUGGGUGAUGCAUUGAACAAAACUUGAGGACCACCGAGAAAAAAAAUGGAUUCAUUGCUUAAAUAAAUGUUUUAUGACAGGACGAAGCCAGAACAAAAUUUUAGGGGGCCGAAUGAAAUUUUAAUUUUUUAUGGUUUAUAUCGUUAGAAUUUUUAAAGAAUUAAAUCGAAUUUUUAUAAUUUUAAAAGGGCAAAGUGUAAUUUUACCUUUACUAAUUUAAAAUUUUUUUAAAAAAUUAAAUAGCCUAAAUAACAAUUUUUCAUUUUAGGGGACGGGAAAUCGCCUCUGCUUUAUGAGUCUGAUUUAAUGCACAACUGUUAAUAAAUUAAAAUGAUUAUGCUUCCUAGUACAGACAUGUUGAGCUUAAUGGUCAUUUGUAGGUAGUAGGGAUAUAGUACUAAGAUUAGAGCAUAAUUGGGAUAUAUGAUUGUGACUUUCCCUUUAAGAUGCACCUAGACAAGUCUUUUUUUUGGUUAAUAUGUGAAUAUUUUUUAAAUAAAUAUUGAUUUCAAUUACAUUUUUUUACACCUCAUUGUGAGUUGGAUUGUCUUUUUAGUUUAAUGGUUUAAUUCAAUUUCAAUUAAAUAACUUUAGGUAUAUUUUUAUUUAAAAUUUAAUUAUAAAAAUACAUUAUUGUAACAUCUUCAAUACCCUUGAGUCGAGAACAAUGUUAAAUUGAGAGUAAAUAAGUUAGAAUUUGAGAAGGUUAUAAAAUAGAAAUCAUAAGCGUUAGUAGAAGGUGAAGAAAGAUAUUCAAGGUAAUUGAAAAGAAUAUAUGAGAAAUAAAUUCGAGGUAUUGACUAGAUUGUAAGAGAGUGAAAAGUGAGAAAAUUAAGAGAUAGAAUGAUUAGAUUGAAUUGAAAGAAAAAAUGAGGAGCCACUAAAGGUGAAUUUUGACCAAAAGAAAAUAUGACACAUGAAUAGUAUUGUAGAGAAAGUUAAGGGAUUAAAUGGUCAAUACUCAAUUUAGAUAAUUAUGGAAAGAAUAAUGAUUAAGGACUAAAUUGGUGUAAAAGCAUGAUUGGUGGAAAUAUUUUAAUAAUUAUUAUUUUUAAUUAUUAAAUUAAUAGAUUUAAUUUUACAACAAUGUAGAAAAGAUGAUAACAUUCACAUUUAUUCAUCUUUUCUCCCACACGUCACUUAUUUCAUGAACAGCCAAAGUUUUAGUUUUAUUCAUUUUGGUCCUUUUCACCAUUUUCAAGCCUUCCAAGCUUUAUUCCUCCAAUUUCUUUCAUAAAUAUUUAGUGAAAUUAAAAAGAGAAACCUAGUUGUUAUGAUAGUUUUGUAGUUGUCCUGGAAAAGAGAGAAAACAAAAAUUAGGGUUUGAUUACAACAGAUCAAGGUAAGAAUGAUAAGUUUUAUAUGGAUUUCAUGUUAGUUUUAUUCAAAUAGUAUAGAUAUGGCAUUUGAUUAUAAUUUUGAUAAAUAAAUCUUGUAUAUUUGAUAUGAAAAUGAAUAAAAAGAGAAGAGAAAAGAUUAACAAGUUGGGGACAAAGGCAAAGAAAUAGCUAAAGAGUAGAAGAAGAAGAAAAAGAAAGCUUGAUUCUAUGCCUUUGGUAGUAGGGGUGAGCAAAAUCCGAUUCGAUUAAAAAAUUCAAUAAAAAAUUUAAAUUUUGAAUUAAGUAGUUUGAGUUAAUCGAGUUAUUCGGACCAACUCGAAUAAAAAAUAAAAAAAUUCAAUUUAACUCGAAUAUGAAUUACACAUCUCGAGUUAUCUGAAAAUCCGAAUAAGAAAAGACAAAACUACAUCGUUUUGAUAAAUGUUUACCCAUCAACCUUACUUAUGUAGUUAAAUAAUUUUGUAUUUCACGCAACAUUGAGUAUAAAUAAUAUGAUUCAAUAACUUAACUCAACUUGACUCGAAACUUUUUUACUCGAUUCGACUCAAAUUGAGUUCGAUUGCUAAAAUAGGAUUCAUCAACUCAACUAACUCGAAAUUUUUUUACUCGACUCAAUCGAAUGUUCACCCCUAUUUGGUAGUAAGUACAACAAGAAUUUACUUAAAUAAUAUCUAAAUAUAGAAUUUUGUUAGAUUAGUUAUAUUUAUGUGAUUAAUUUUAUACAUGAUUAUGUUAAUAUCUAAUAUGAGAUAGAUUAGUGAAUGUAUUGAAAUUUAAUACGAGGUUGGUUAAUAUUUAAUAAUUUGUUUUUAUUUAUUUUAAUAUUAUAUAUUAUCUUAUAAAAACUUUAUGUUUAAAUUUUGAUUUUUGUUUGGAGUAAGGUGAAAUGUUUAAAAAUUGAGAAUAAAAUGUAGAAUAUAUAUUUUUUAAUACUUUAAAAUUUAUACUUAUUAAAAAUUUAAUUAUAUUCCAUAAUUAAUUUCAAAUAACAUGUCAAACAAUUUUACAACUUAAAUUUAGUAUUUAAAUUUUCAAUACCUAAUUUUUCAACACUUUUUUUUAUAUGUAAGUUAAAAAGGAUGAAAAUAAUUGAAUAAUUUACACUAGUGCUAUAUCAACCCUGUAAGAAAAUAAAGACAAUAUUAAAAUUUAUAACUAAGGACUUUUAAAAAAAUAAAAUUAUUGAUAAAGAAAUAGAAAAAUCAUAAAUAAUUACUAAUAAAAAUUGAAAAAAAAUUAUUUUUAUUUUAAAAAAUAUUAAAUUUCUCAUAUAAUUUAAUAAUGAAUUAUUCCUCUUGUGUAAAAAUCUCUUUCUUUGAAAAAAAUUGAGUUGAUGUCUAAUUAAUUAGUGAGAUUAACUCAAUCAAAAAUAUUAAUGAUAAUUAGAUUGUUCCACCCAUGAAGUGGGUAAUUUUUUUUAGUAAAAAUGUAUAUUUAUUAAAAAUUAAUAUAAAAAAUAAAUCUUAUGCUAUUUUUUAUUAAUUUUAUAUAAAAAUAUUAUUGUAAUAAUAUAAUUUAUUUUGUAAAAAGUAUGAUUUUUUUGUCAUUUUCCAAUUGAGUCUUCGUCUAGUUGUCUCAUAAAAUAAACUUAGUCAAAGAUUUAAAUAUUACCAUAUAUUACAAUUACUGAAUAUGUAACAUUUAAAUUUGUUAAAAGAUAAAUCUAAUAAUGUAUGAUCUAUAUCUACGUUAUUAUUUAAGCUCAUAAUUGAUUUCAUCUCGCGAGUCAAUCAAAUGCCAAACCAGUUGAAAAAUGAAAAAAAAAAAAGACUUUCUAUAACAUAAGUUAUAUUAUUAUGAAGGUGUUUGUUUUUAUAUUUUUAUAUAAAAUCUAUAAAAAACCAUAUAAUAAAAAUUGAACCGAAGACACCGUAAUUUUUAAACCUUCAACCUCAUCAUUUCAACCAAAUCUUAAUUUGGUUUUUAUAUAAACUUUUAAUAAAUAUAGUAGAAUCUAUAUCUAUAUUAUUAAGCCCCAUCGAGGUGGUAUUACUCAUUAAUUGAGUACCAACUUAAUUGAGAAAUAACUAAAAAUCAUUAUUUAUAUAAAAAUAAAUUAUAUUAUUACGAUAGUGUUUUUGUGUUUUUUAUAUAAGUUAUUUAAAAAUACACAUAAAUGAGAGUUUAUAUUUUAUAUAAAAUAUUAAAAUGCACUUAUUUAAAUUUUAUAUUAUAAAUAUAAAAUAUGGAGGACGAAAUUCCAAAUGUACGAAUUAUAGAGACUUAGAGUAAUGGUUGUUUGAAUCGAUUGAACCAACCGAGGUACUACGUCGGAGAGAGACAUCAAAUUGAUUGAUCUGCGAACUGGUAUAAAUUGGUAGAACUAUACUAAAAAACCAUUUGAAUUAUUUUUUUAAAAUAAUUUUAUUUUUAUGUUUUUAAUUAUUUAUUUAAUCGAACCAUAUGAACCAAUGAUAUAACCAGUUUAAACACCGUUUUGGUUCUAAAAACUUUGCUUAGAAUAUAUUUAAUUUUCAAAUUUUUACUCUAUGAUUUGACAAAAACAAAUAAUCAAUUUAACGCAAAGUGUGAGUGGACUAUACUAAUUAAAGGUAAAUUUAAAACUAUACUUUAAUUUUAUACAAAUUCCACCACUUUACUUUUUUUUUUAUUAAAUUUGCCACUAAAGUUUCAUUUUUGAAUAAAUUUUACUAUUAAAUCUUAUUUUUAUGUUAAUACUUAACGCAAUGUUAUUAGUAUUUUAUUUUAAUAGUUGCCAUUAGUAUAAUAAAUAUUUAUAAAGAUAAACUUAUAUUUUCCUUUUAUAUAUAUCUAUAUAUUAUUUUCAAGUCUUUCUUUUGUUAAAUAAAAAGUACAAGUUAAUUUAUUAUUUUCUGUAGUAUUUUAUAAAUUUAACUUAUUUCUAAUUAUGAAAAUAAAUAUUUGAAAAAAAAUUAUAAAAUACAAAAAAAUCUUUUAAGGUUUGUUUAAUAAAUAAAAAUAAAAAAAUUAAUAAAAAAUUUUAUUUAAAUUUAUUUAGUAAACAAAUCACUUAAAGUUUAUUUAAUUUUUGGCAAAUCUUAAAGGACGUUUGGUUCAAGUCAUGAUUUUCAAAGGUAAAGUGAAUGUGUGAUUUUCAAGGGUAAUGUGAUUGGGGGAAUUUGGGUCGUGAAAGUUUAUAUAUAUAUAUAUAUAUAUUUUCCCUUUUAAUGAUCUUAUUCCUUCAACUAAAACAAAUAACGGGAGUUUUAAGAAAAACUUUAAAAUUAAAAUUAAGAUUUAGAAAAAGCAAAGAAAGAAAUAGUUAAAAUUUCGGGGAAAAUUAAGAGAAAAGAUUGUAUAAAACAGUGACAUCAUGUCAUUUGUACCCAUUUUCCAAUAGUUUUAUGCCACAUCAGCAUUUUUAUCUUGAAUUUUAGCAUAUUCAACCUGAAAAAAAAUCAAAUCCAAAUUAAAAUCCUAAAAUUCAGGAUGAAAUUACUGUUGUGACAUAAAACUAUUGGAAAGAGAUAAUAUCCCUAUUUCAUACAGUCCUUUCUCGGAAAUCAAUGAUAUGAAACUCUAGUAAAAGUAAAUUACCUAUUUGAUUCAAGGGUUUGAUUCAUUGAUAUAAAGAUGAAUUUCAAUGUUGUUUGAUAAAUUGAUUAUAGUUACCAACAAUCACCUAGUAACUUAAUCUAUAACAACCUAUUUUCAGUAAAAUCGGAAUAGUGGUUUGGGGACCACAAGUUCAAGUCCGAAAGAAAAUUUAUUUUAAAAUUAUUUUAUGGUCUAUCGUAUGACAGGAAUAUCGUGUAAAAAUUUUGUUAAGAAAAUUUUAUCGAUUACAUGUUUAAUUGAUAAAAUGAUCAAAUUGCAUAAAAUGUAAAAGUUGAGUUCUAUUAGCUAUAGGUAUCAAAUAACUAUGUAAUUCAAAAUUUGAGGUCAUUAAAUGGCAAAUAGACCAUUAAGAGGAGUUAGUAGAUAAGUAUGAUGAUUCAUCAAUGGAAAAUUAAAUAAAGAAAAGGACUAAAUUGGAAAGAUGAAAUAAUAAAAGAUGAUAUUUUAAUUAAAAAAGAAAUACCAUCAUUUUAUAUCAUCUUUCCCAAAUAAAAAGACAUGGAAACCCUAUUUAGAAGAGCUUGAAGAUAACAAGCUUAUUUGGCUUAAUUGGGUUUGUUUUCUUGUUCUAUUUUUAGGAAUUUUCAUAUUUUCGAGAUCGUAAUAGCUUAAUUUAGCUAUCGCGGGGAUUAAUUUGUAAAGUUGCCAAAGUGCUAGGGUUUUUCCAUUGAUGAGUAUAGUUGAAUUGUAAAAUUUUUAUGGUAGAAAAUAAAAGGUUGAUGAUAGAUAAACAACUUUUGUAAAGGAAAUUUUGAUGAAAUUAUGAUUUAGGGACUAAAUUGAAAAGAUGUACAAUUCAUGGAAAAAUUCUAAAUUUUUUGAAUUAUAUGGGUUGCUAUUGUUACAUGUAAAAAUCGACUAGGCUUGGAAUAAGGAUUAAAUUGCAAGAAUUUCAUUUUUCGAGCUUAGGGACGAAAUUAUAAUUAAAUGAAAGUAUAGGGGCAAAAUGGUAAGUUUUCCAAAUAUGUGAAUUGAAUUGAAUAUGAAUUUAUGUUAAAUUCAUUUAUAUAGAUCUGGAUAAACCAAAUACGAAGUUAGAACGAGGAAAAGAGAAUGUAUCAGAUUAGUAGAUUACAAAUACACGAAAAUUUGUCGAGGUAAGUUCGUGUAAAUAAAUUGUAUAUUUAUAUGUUGGAAUUGAAUGUUAUGUAUGUGAAUUGUAAUGGUCAUGUGUGAAAAUCAAUUACAUAUCCGACAAUGUUCGACAAGUAUUAUGCCCCGUUUGAAUAAAUGAAAUUCGAUGGAUACAGGGUUCCUGAAUUGGUUGUGGUCCUGCAUGUGUUGCGGAUGCACCAUGGCUUGAAAAAGCGUCCUUUUAUUAGCUCUCAUGAGCAUCUCAAUAUUUGGCUCUCACGAGCUUCCCGUUAUAUGAUUCUUGCGAGUUUCCCGUUAAUAGCUCUUCAGAGCAUCCCGAUUGGUUGUGAUUAUGCAUGUGCUGUGGACACACCAUAGCUCUUAUGAGUGUCCCGAUAUAUGGCUCUCCGGAGCUUCUCGAUUAAAUGAUUUUUCAUAAGCUUCCUGAUUAAUGGCUCUCCGGAGCUUCCCGAUAAUGGCUCACUUGAACUUCCCGAUUACAUCUCUUAUGAGCUUCCUAUUACAUGACUCAUAUGAGCUUCCCAUUAUAUGGAUCAAGAGAGUGCUUCUCGUUUAUGUGCUCCAAUGAUCACGUCUUCAUUUCUAUUUUGUUAUUCAAAAUUGCUUCUCUUUUACUAUUAAAAAUAAUUAAUAGAAAAAUUGGAUUUAAAAGUUUGCAUGGGACAAAUAAUCCAAAUGAUAGGUUAAUUUUGUUGAUUGUUUAUGCAAGAUGGUUAGGAGGAAAGGUAAUACAAAACAUACACUGCCUUUGCAUUAUAUGCAUAUACAAAUACUAAAUGUCUUCAACCUGAUACAGGCAAUGAUUAAUAAAUAAGUGAAGGUCCACGUCUAAUCCUAUUAUAUGAGACUAAGACGCCAAAUUUGACUAGCUAAGUUGUUGCCAGGUACUAAAAUUAUGUCGCCCAAUGCUUUAUUUCUUUAGGGCUGGCGUAGUCGACACUGGCCUUUUUCUUUAUAUACCGAUGUUCUUAAAGCUUAAACACCCUCAAGUCACUGAAAAUUAUGUUGAAGAAUUUAGCGGUGUUUGAUUCAAUUCAGCCUUUUUUUUUAAAAAAAAAUUUAUGGCUUCAAUUAGCACGUUUGGAAAAAGAAAAAUGUCGCUAAGGCUCUUUCAUGAGCUUCCUGAUUAAUGGCUCUCCGGAGCUUCCCGAUAAUGACUCGCUUGAACUUCCCGAUUACAUCUUUUAUGAGAUUCCUAUUACAUGGCUCAUAUGAGCUUCCCGUUAUAUGGCCCAAGAGAGAGCUUCCCAUUUAUGUGCUCCUAUGAGCACUCUUGAAUAUAAAUUGACGGAUUUUAGUUUUGUACAAUUUGUGUGUACUACAUGUGUAUCCAUCAAUAUUUUGAAUGAUUCAACGGGCAAAGUUCUGACAUAAGAUAAUGUGAGUUCAAAAUGAAUUAAUACUUGUAUAUACAUGAAAUACAUGGAAAUGAUGUUACUUGAUAUACCUGAAGCAUGACUUGAUUAUUACUUGAAUGUGGAACUUGCCUGAUGACCUUGUUCAUCCAUGAUCAAUGGUUACUAUAUGUGAUUAUAUGACUAACAUGAUGGUUGAGGAUAUGUGUUAGGGCUUUUAGCCAAAUUACUUAAGUAUGCUUUGUAUGCUUACUUUAAAUGAAAAUGAAUGGUAAAUUAAUUUUCUAUUAUACGAACUUACUAAGCAUAAAAUGCUUACUCUGUUUUAUUUUCUCCGUCUUAUAGUACUCUGAAGCUCGUAAAGGUUGGAAGUUGGUCGGAGCUACAUCACACUAUCCAUCGGCCCAUUUCGGUAUAUAUAGAAAAAUAAUUUGGUUAUAAUGGCAUGUAUAAGGUAAUUUAGCCAAUGUUGGCUUAAAAAUAUAUUUUGUUGUGAAUAGCCAUUGGAAUGGCUUGAGUUGGACAUAUUUUGAUAUGUAUAUGUAUGUGUGGCUUAAUAUGUUUGUUGUGUUUAAUGUAGUUGAGUAAUGGAUAAUUUAUGAGUAUGAUAAUGUACGGUUUGAGAUAAUAUGAUUGGAGAAAUAUGCAUAUAAGUUUAUAUAGUUAAUUAGGUAAGAUUGAAUACUUGGACAUAUGGGGUGUUAUGAUAUGUGUUAAACUUGAUUUUGGUUUGAUUUAAAUGUCUUGUAUUGGUUGGUGAAAGUGUUAAAGUGAUGAUGUAGGUGGAAGACAAAAUUGGUGAGAAAAGUGACUUUGGAAUUGGCCUAUUUUUGUUCACAUGGGCAGAGACACGGGCGUGUGUCUCUGCCAUGUGUGACACACGGCCUAGCACAUAGGUGUGUGUUUUGGCCGUGUGUCCCCUGCAUCUUUAAAAUUUCAAAACAAAAUGCUUAAAAAUUUUGACACAGCCUAGCACAUGGGCGUGUGGCUCUGCUGUGUGACCCCUUCACUUAUUUAUUACAAGUCAGUAUGCUCACACGAUCUAGCACACGGGCGUGUGACUUGGCCGUAUGACCCAAGUCAGAGAGCACCCUAAUUUAGACACAAGUUGGGACACGACCGUGUGUCUCUAUUUAGAAUGCUCACAUGGCCUAAGACACGGGCGUGUCUCUUGACCGUGUGAGACACAUGGCCUGGCCACACGGGCGUAUGUCCCUUGCACUUUGGAAAAUUUUUGAAAUUUUACGAAAAAUUCUCUGAGUACCCGGUUUAGUACCGACUUGUUUCUAAUGCAUAUUUUGGGCCUCAAUGGCUCAUAUAAAGGGACAAUAUGAUUGAAUAUGAUUGAUUUCUGAUAUAAAUGUUAAAUGGUAUGAAAUAUCUGUAUUUGAUCUGUAAAUUUUGGUAAUGCUCUAUAACCCUGUUCCGGCGACGGAUAUGGGUUAGGGGUGUUACAUAAUCUUUUCUUACCUUCUCGAUAAUAAAGAAAAUCAUCAUUAAUUCCUUCAUUUAUUGACAAAUAACCCUAUAAUGAUCACUUAGGAAUUUAAUUUAUCAAUAGCAUUGAGAAUGAAAGAGAUCCAAUUCUAACCAACAAACAUACAAUCAAUAUUUAUUUAAGUUAGACCGCAUGCUCAUACUACACAAAUAAUCAUGCAAUCAUCACAAAUAUUAGAAAUCAAUCGAUCGACUAAUUAUCUAAUUGACAAAUCAAUUAUUCUAAGCUAUUAAAUAUUGACAGAAUACUUAACAAACCUGAACAAUUGUAAUUAAACCGGAAGACGUGCAAAUACUAAAUAACAAAUAAAGAUUAAGAGUAAUUCGAUCUCAAAAACUUGUAGAAUCAAACUUCGAAUAUUACUUCAACUAGAAAGAUAGAUUUAAAAACCUAUAAAAUAAAGAAAACAAAAUAAAACUAAGAAUGGUUGGGUCUCAAUCUCCCCAAAUCUUAACCUAAUAAUGUCUAUUUAUAGGGCUAAAAUAAUAUAAUGGAGAAAAUACAAAAGUGCCUUUUAUUAAAUAAAGUAGAAUUUUUCUAGGUUUCUUAGCUAUUUUAGUGUCGAACUUCCAAGCCGUUUUGGGUGCCUUCCUGAUAUUUUUGGGCUUCAAGUAUGAAAUAACUUUAGAUAAUUUUUUUAAUUCUCUCGGAACCUGGGCCCAAAAUGAAGGUCUUAGCUCAAGUUGUGGCCGAAAUACUAAAACUACAUUGUUGAAAGUCUAGAACCACAAAAACUUUGACAAAAAAAUUUAAGCUUUUUUUUCUCCAAUUAUUCUCUAAAUCAAUAAUAAAUAGAAUAUAAGUAUAAAUGAUUUAAUUAAGAACAUAAAUAGCAUAAUUCAAGGCAUGAAACAUCACAAAUAAUUAGUAAAUUACACAAUUAUCAACGAUAUUUUUGUAUAACAUUACUACGCUUGGUUUGCGAAGAUUAUCUUGAGUCAAUAAUAUUACACUCCAAAUAGUAUUAAGAUUGGCAUUGGCACUUACAAUAUAGUCCAACGGAAAAAAAUGUUGCAGAUUGACUAGCUAAAAGAGUGUAUUGCUUAAUAGGAUCUUGAAUGUUUACAAUGAACCAUCGCAGGAUGUCUUAACUUGUUAACGACAGAUGCGAUUGAUGGUGUCUUUUCUAGAUUAGCUGUUAGUUAAUUGUUUAAGUUAUCCCUCUCGUUUUUAUCGAAAAAUGUAAAAUUUCAAGAAUAAUUUUCUUUCUUAUAAUUUUGAUCAAUUUUAUCCCUAAACUAAAAAAAAUCUAAUUAACUUUCAACUUUUGCAUGACAUAAAGCACAACAGCCUUGUAUUCUUACAAUAACACGUAGUAAUUAAUAUAUUAAUUAUAACAAUAUUAUAUUAAAUGUAAGAUUUACUUUUUUGUAAAAAUAAAAGUUUAUAAUAAAAUGAAAUGGUUUUUAAGUAAUAUAUUUUAAUGAAUAUUUAGAUUAAUGUUAAAAAGAAUUAAACUCGUGUGAAAAUAAAUUUUAUAAUGAUAACAAUUUAGCAAUAUGUACAUACCAUUGACAAAAAUAAAAACCCAAAUGAAUCAAACUGAAUAAUACAAUAUCUUCAAUGAUAAUUUUAUAAUUCGAUAUAUUUCAUAAAAUAUUAACAAACAUCCUUUACCACUAGUUGAAGGGUUGAAGGAUUUGUGGAGUGUUACCAAAAUCUUUAAAACAGCCAUGUAAUAAUAAUAAUUCAACGUUCUCUUAAAAGAAUUUAAAUUCGAGCGUCGUUAGCAUUAGCGUAACGUCUCUCUGAAUAUUUCAACCUCCUCUCCUCAACAUCCUCUUUUCCCUCUCCUUUUCUCCUAAAAAUUUCCCCACUACUACUCGCCUCCACGUGUAAAUUAUUUUCCAAUAUUACCCUCAUCCGUACACGUUGCCCCCUCAUCCUCGCGCGUCUCAAUCCUCCCUCCCCGCUUCGCGAGUCCAAUCCUCUCCCUUCAAUUUUUAAAAAGCGAUUUAAGAAGAAGGAAAAAAAAAGCAAACCCGAGUACGACUUAACGUUAUGCACUCAAAUUUCGCCUAAACUGUGCUCAUUCCCUUCUUUCAUUCUCGCUUUUCCUCUCAAGCUCUCGUUCGUCGCCAACGGUCAUUUACAGGCUUAAAACAAGGAAAAUUCUGUUAAGCUAGGAUUUAUAUUUAAUUAACUCUAAACUCUGAUUCUCCUUUUUUUUUCUCCUUUGAUGUGAGAUUUUCAGGAGGGUUUAUAGGGUUUUGGAGAAGAGUGAGGUUAAUAAUCUGCGAGAUUGUGAGGAUUCAAUUUUGUGAGUGCACAGCAAUGGUAGCGACAGUGUCCGCAGCGGUAAACCCCAAACAUCGCGGAGGAGUAACACAGCCACACGGCCAACACCAAAUCCCCUCACGGCCUCCUUUAUUGCCUUCCGACCCCGACAAUGCCAUCGCUCCCCGCCGUCAAAAGUUCCGUGAAGUCACUUCUCGUUAUUUGUCCACACCGUCAUCCUCCUCAAAUUCUUCUAUAUCAUCGUCGUCUUCUUUCGCGGCUGCUAGCAAACGGUGUCCAUCGCCGUUCGUUUCGACGUCAACGACUCCAUCAGCUAUCAAGCGGUCGCAAUCGGUGGAGCGGAGACAGGCGGUGACGCCGCGGCCUAACAAUUCUAUGAAAUUGAGAAGUAGUGACGGUAACAAUAAUGGCGAAUUAUCCGCUGCUCAGAAGUUGCUCUUCACUUCGACAAGAAGCUUAUCUGUCUCGUUUCAGGGAGAUUCGUUUCCCUAUCAAUUUAAUAAAGCUAAACCGGCUCUAUCUCCAAGCGCGGCAAGGAAGGGCACGCCGGAGAAGCGAAAACCAACGGCGAUCACAACGACACCGGGUAGAGGAACAGAUCAAACGGAGAAUUCAAACACAGAGCGGUUGCCGGCGAGCUUCAGAAAACCAAAUUCGAUGAGCCGAAAGGUGGAUUGCACCGUCGAGAGGAAGAGGCUAAACGGAUCUGUUAACGGAAAUGUAGUUAGGGCACUACAAAAUUCCAUGAUUGAUAAUAGGGAUUCAACGGCCGUUACUGCCCUUGGAUCUGAGGCUCAAUGUGAUCCCUCGGCUUCGGAUACUGAAAGUGUUUCCUCUGGAAGUACUUCAGGAGCUCCAGAAGGUUCUUGUAAUGGUAACGGAGACGUUAAGCGUGGGCCUCGGGGGAUAAUUGUCCCAGCCCGGUUUUGGCAAGAGACUAAUAGUCGGUUACGCAGGUCCGAUCCUCUUUCGCCGGUUUCUAAGAAAAAUACCGCUCCCUCUAAGAUAAUUGCACCGGAAAAGUUCGGCAUUGAUAGUCCUUCAUCGUCUCCGAAAGGUGUAGUGAAUAGCAGGGGACAGUUAUCGCCAGUUCGUGGAUCAAUUCGGCCUGCAUCACCAGGUAAGCUUGGGGCCUCCACUACUUCGUCUCCUUUGAGGGGAAUGAGUCCCUCUAGAGUGAGGAGUGGAUUGGCUAGUAAUUUGGUAAAUACUCCAUCAAUUUUGAGCUUUAAUGGUGAUGUUCUUAAGAUGGGUAAGAUUGGGGAGAAUAAGGCUUCGGAUGCUCAUUUUUUGAGGCUACUUCAUAAUAGGCUGUUGCAAUGGCGUUUUGUUAAUGCUAGAGCAGAUGCUGCUAUGUCUUCCCAGAAGUCUAAUGCAGAGGUAUGGCUUUAAGAAUUACCUCUGAAUUGUUCUCAUGUUGCGUUUACCAUUAUAUUUUCAUGAUUUAUCUAUUACGCUUUCUGGUGUUGGUGUGCUUCAGUUUUCCGUUAAUAUUUUAUUUAGAGGUACAACUCACAGCAACGUUGCAUGCCAUCAACAGUAAAGUAUUAUGGCUAAGUUUACUUUGUAAUUUGGAUGGCGAGUUACACAGAUCAUGACUAGAUGAUAUAUUUAAUUCCUGCAAAUGUAUCUUGGCUGCAUGGAACUUGUCUUGCUUCUAUUGCCUGGAUCAUUCAGAACUUUUGACCAGAUACUCGGGAAGAAGAUGGCAAACAAAAUUGCUUUUAUGGUAUAGAAGCAGUUUCCUUAUUGUCUGCAAGCAGUCUGUGAGAGUUGUUUUGUAGCUUAAAAUUGAUCAUGUUAACGGAGAGAAGCUGAAGUUUCGGUGAAGGAUUGGAUUAUUAACAUGUGGGGUUGGCGUUUUGAAUUCUUCCAACAAGUUCUUCUUCCCCUUUAUAAACAGCUUUUCCAUUAGAAAUUCUUACUUCGGCUGUGUAAAUGGAUAUCCUUAUACAAAUAUUUUAUAGACGAUACUAGAAUGGUGUGAAAUGAGACUGUAUGCCUGCUUUGCAUAUCAAGGGAAUCUAAGAGACACUGAGUUCAGUAUACUUUAAUUUCAAAUUAAGAAUAAAUUUAGAAAGUUGAAUGUUUGAUAGGAAGAAGCUGGCUUAAUAGUUUCUGACUUUUUUGGUUUAAGGAAUGAGUCAAAGAGGGCGUCUAUAGUAUUUGGAGCAAUUUGAUCAAAUAGAGGCAAGCAGAGUUUGCAGAUUAUAUUUGCUAUAGAAACAGGGUGAUUGAAUGAUUCAUUCUGAGAAGGAAGAAGCAGGGGAAAUAAGAGUUCCAUUCAGAUUUUUCAUGUUUUAACAGCUGAUGUGAUUAACAUUAGUUUCAAUUAUCGUUUUGCAUUGUGUCUCUGAGGGCCUUCAUUUAGCUGUCCUAUUGUUUCUGAGGCUACUUAAAUUAUUAAUAUCUGAUGAAAAAAAAAUCCUUUUUGUUGUCAUGUUCCAUUGAAACAGAAAAGUCUCUGUGGUGCAUGGAUAACUACCUCAAAACUUCGAGAAUCUGUUAGAGCCAAAAGAACUGAGUUACAGCUGCUGAAGCAAAAGUUGAAGCUGAUUUCCAUCCUAAAGGGGCAAGUAAGAACCAUCUCCCCAUUGUGGAAAUUUAUCUUGUUGAUUUGAUUCUUACUUCAUUUUGCUAAUCUAAACUUGAUUUCCGCUAGUUUCUCAUUGUCUACCUCUUCCAUUACAUUUCAAACUGUAUAUCUCUCUGUCCCGCUCUAUCUCUCCUCCCCCAUCCCUUUUUCUCUCUUCUCAUCAACUUUCCUUGAAAUUGAAAGUUGAAUGAUUUUACUUUCAAGUUGCUCCUUAUCUGAAGAAACGUGAUAUAUAAUUAUUUCAACUGUAAUUGCAUGUUUCAAUUCAUGCAAUCCUAUACUCUUUCACAUUUUGACUGCUUUCCGUUUUAUUGAUGAAUGCAGAUGAUUCUUUUGGAUGAAUGGGAUGUUGUAGACCAUGAUUAUUGCAGUUCAUUGUCUGCAGCUACCGAAGCUUUGAUGGCAAGCACACUCCGCCUUCCAGUUGUUGCUGGGGCAAGGGUAAUUUUCUUCCUUGGUAUUCUGUGGUAGCUUGUGAGUUAGCAUGUUUCAGUCUUAAAAGGAAACAUUUUGGUUUUCUCUUCAUUUGUUCAGGCUGAUGUCCCAAAAUUGAAGGAUGCUAUAUGUUCAGCUGUGGACGUAAUGCAGGCAAUUUCCUCCUACAUCUGCCCAUUGUUUUCUAAGGUAAUUCUUUCCUUGUUUCUCUCAUCCAUAGCCUCUGUUUCGUCUCUCCCUUCCCAUGUUAUUGUUAUUUGCAAAUUUUAAGUUUCCAUCGUCCCUCUUUUAAGCACAAAGUGCAAACAUCUUCUUUUCGUAAGAACUAGCUUUCGACAAGCUGCGACCAACAAAAAUUAAAAUAAUAGUAAAAUAUUGCUACUGAUCUUAUUUCUUUGACGGAAGCAUGAAGGUUGAGUACUUCUUAGUUCUUUCAUCUACUAAUUUGUUUUUUUGUUGGGUAUUAUGCCCUGUAUUUAAAAUGGAUAGAGAUUUUCUUACAUCUAAUGAUCAAAUAUAGUUUAAAGCUUAGCUAUGACGGAAAGAAAUACGAUGAUCUCAUGAAUCUGCGUUUGUAUAAAGGUAUAGGUUUAAGUCUUCUGGGCUUAGUUUGCUUCCUAAUCUGUUUGAAUGAUGAGGUUAUACCAUGGGUGGUGCUGUUUUCAUCAACCCAAGGUAGUUUAAAUAAGCAUUCAUAAUACAGCUAACAUUAUCAGAUUACCUGUCAGUUUUUACUUGUUUUUGUACAUCUGAUGUAGCCUUCAUCAACAAAUAAACCAGCACUUGUCUUUUCUUCUCCUGUUGUCCUAUUUUUACUCAGAAUAUUUUCUUACCUGACUAAAGGAACCAGAAACUGAUUUGUAUUGUUAGAAAUGCAUGUAACCAGUCUUAAGAAGUUAAUAGAGUGCCACAAUGUGAAAUAUUGUUCAUGUUAUAAGCAUAAGCCUUAGAACUCGCUUGAUCUCUCGAGUCCAUUGGAUGGUCAUUAGUUAAGACUGUAACUACAGCCACUGAACAUAUUGAUUUGAUGCUAGUUACAGCUGCUUGUUUUUUCAAUCAAUUCUGUAAGCAUUAAAAAAUGACGCAUCAAAUUACGCAUCUUGCUUUGGGUUGAGGAUGACAAUGGAAUUUACCACUGACAUAGGAACUCUACUGACAUAUUAAAUUAGCUCACUUCCUUCAGUGAAAAUUUUGGUUUUUAUCCUUUUUCCCCUUUAUUUUUAUCAAAUUUCGUUUGUCAUUUCAUGCUUUUAUCUUUUUCUUUUCUUUUUUUUUUAAAUUUAUUUUUUCGGUUGAUAGAUUGCAGACGUCAACUCUUUGAUGGGAGAACUUCGACAUAUAAGUUCAAAUGAGAUUGCUUUACUUGACCACUGUCAAGAACUUGUAUCAACAAUUGCAGCUAUGCAGGUAAAUAUCUUAUUUAUAGUUUUAUUAGAGGAAUUGCUGUUUAUAAAUGCAUUUUUUAACCUAACUGUUCUAAUGAGCAGGUGAAAGAAUGUAGCCUGAGAACACACAUAUUACAACUAAAUCAAUUACCAUCCAGCAUAACAACGAAAUUGUAAAGCUCGUGGUGAUUUUCACUGCUUUCCUCUAAUAACUAACAUGACAUCAACCACCAUUUCCAUUUCAUCCAAACUAAAUAAUCAACUAAACCCUUGUGGUUUUAUUGCAACCAGUUUGUGCCUCAAAACAUCUAUUUUUACCCAAUUAAACCCUCGAUUGAGCGUAAAUUGGGUGGAAGCAUAUGUUUGAAGAUAUAAUUGAUUGCAGUUAAAGAAUACAGGUUUGGAUGAUUAUAUAAUUUUAGUUCCGGGGCUUUUUGUAUAUUCAGGUCCCGAAUUUAUGGUGCCAAAGGUAAAUAAGUUUCCGAUGACCAAAUCCAAUUUUUCAAGCUUGAGAGAGAAUUUGGUCUUCUGUUAUGAUAUAUGAAAUUUUAGCUAUAUGUGUAUUUUGAUGUUGUGUGGGCGGGGGGAGUUAUUUUUCAAUGUGAAAUAGUUUUACAGGGGCCCUUUUUUACCCUUUUCCUUAGGCCAAAGGAAAGUAUGUAUUUUUUUUUGUAUAAAUGAUGCUUCCAAUUUUAGUUGAAGGUUCUUAGUAUUUGUCGUUGUUUGCUUUCAUCUAAUCAAUUUGGUUUGAAUGAAAACAACUUAUAACUCCAAGCUUUAAGUGAAUUAUUUAAUAUUUUUCUUAGAAUUUGCCUAAUUGGUGUUUAUAAUGAAUUAAGAACUAUUUAAUGGAAUUAAAACUUGAUGAACUACGCUAGUGCAUUAUUGUCUAUAAAUAUAAAUUAGACAGUGGCACCUCAUUUAAAAUAAACUCUAAUGGAUUUAUUUUUAUAAAUUUUUAACGAUGUAUUAUUAUAUAUUUUACUAAUAAAUGUAUAUUAUAACAUUGAUGUGGUUUUUAUUUUUGUCAUUUCAAAUUUUUUAUAUUAUUUUGUAUAGUUUUGGAUAAAAAUUAAAUAUGGUAAUUUAAAUAUCUUAUUUAAAAAAGGGCAAUUUAUUUUUUGUUAAAAAUUUUAUAUUAAAUAAAACAGUAAAAUGAUUAUCAAACACAUUUAAAAUAUUAAAGGUUAAUUUAUUUUUCAUUUUUAAUGGUUUAUCAAACAUACGCUAUAUAAUAAAUUAAAAAUAAUAUGGACAUAUCUAAAAUGAAUUUGAAUUAGUUAUUUGCGAAUCGGAGUAAGCUUAAACAAAAUUUUAAGCUUAUAUUUCGAAUUGCGCUAGGCUUAGGCAUACAUGAAGUAUACAAAUAUCAUACAUGGACUUGACCCUACCUAGCUCAUGAAUAUCUCUAAAAUUCAUCAUGAGAUUUAAAAGUAUAUAUUUUUGAAGAAAAGAAUUGUUUAGAUUUAAACCCAAAAUUUAAAAUAAACUAUGCAAGUAUAAAAUUGGAUUUUAUUUUUAUGAAAGAAGAGUACAAAAUCUAUUCUUUUUUUAAAGAUAAAAUAUCUUUUCAAUUAAAACCUAUAGUUAAUGUGAACGGUAACACUUGCAACAACUUUACAUCAACAAAACUUUUUUUUUCAUCAAAGUAGUUGGAAGAAAACAUUUUUUUUAAAUAUUUGGAUUAAAUUUAAAUUAUGAAGUGAAUAUUAUUGAAAAAUUUUUAUUUAAAUAUCAUGGGCUUAAAUAAAAUUAUGAUGAAUAUAUAAAACAAAAACAGGGAUGACACUGACUUAAGCAUAUUUUUAUCUCAUCCCAGAAUAUUUUUAGUUUUACAGAAGAGAAGGAAAUGCAUAAUAGCCCUUUUCAUUGAGGUGUAAAUGAGUUGAGUUAUCCAAUGAAAGAAAAAAGGGAGGAGAAAAAAAGCCAAACGUGUGAUCCACAGCAUAUGCAAUAGACGCGGCGAAACGAUUGAAUGGAACCAAAAAAGCAUUGCUUCGGAGCUAAUUGUAGUCCCUUUUUCUAUCAAUAAGCUUUUGUCUUUGUUAGAAAAGGAAAGAAAAGAUGGGUUAUGCCGUGGAACCCACUUCCAAUGGAGGAGGACUAGGGCUCGCUCAACCUGACGUGCACCGCACCAUUUUUUUUUUCUCUUUUUCAUUCAUUUAUCAAUUUAAAAUAUUAAAAAAAAACCUCUGGACCCACUUUUUCCCCUUCUUCUUCCUUCCCACCAUUUUUUGUUUCCUUUUCUUUUAUUUCUUUUCUCUCUUCCUAUCAAACUCCUUUUCCGUUGCCUCCAACACUAAAACUAAAAAUAAAAUUUAGAUUUAUUCUUCUCCUUUUUUUAUGAUUUUUACUUUAAAAUUAAGAAAUUUUUAAAAAAAUCAACUCUUCCUGAUUACAGAUAAAUUUAAAAUAUAUAAAUAUAAUAUUUUAAUAUAUAAUAUCCGAAAAUUUGUACCACACAUCAAUCAAGUUCUAAUUUAAUUGUUUAAUUACUAGAAAAAAAAGUAUACUUUUUAAGUAUAUUGUUACCACGGUUUUUAUUUUAUUUUAUAAUUUUAUAUUAAAUUAAUUAAACCUAUAUAUAAUAAGAUUUGAACCUAACACCAUAAUAUUUAAGGAAUAUUAUCUGAUACCGUUUUUUACUCCAUAAACGAGGUUAAGAACACUUAACAAUCUAUCAAUCCUGCCUAAAUAACUCUACCGCCUCUGUAUCAAAUAAUUUAUCUAAUAUUUAAGCCUUUAACUUCAUUACUUCAAUUAACUUUUUUUCAUUCACAUCAUGGAUCUGUGAGAUAAUAUAAUAUAAGCUUAAUACCUCUUUUGAGCACUGUGAUCACUUUAAUACUUGUACUAUUUUUUUAUCAUUUCGACCCUUGUACUUUCAUUUUAUGUAACUCAGUACCCCAUCUAUAUUUUCCAUUAAAAAGAACACCUCAUCCAAUCAAACACUGGGACAUGAAAAAAAACUCAAAAUUCCUUGAAAUUUUAAAAAAAGAACAUGGAAGUCUUAAAUUUUCUAUAAAAAAAAUCCUAAAAUUUCAAACAAAUCAAUUUUUAAAAUUUUAUGAAAAUUUUAAUUUUUUAAGUUUUGCAUAAUUAUAAAUUUUUAAAUUUUCUUUUUGUAGUUUUGAGAAAUAUAUUAUGAUUUAAUUUAGUUUCUUUUUAUAGUUUUCUAAGCUUUAAGGAUUUUUAAUGAUUGUUUUUUGGAUUUUAAUAAUGUUUCUUAUAUUUUUAACUUUCCUUAAUACGUGGCAACGUGUUAUUGGUUGACUUAAUUUUUUAAAACAAAAAAAAAAUGGGAUAACACGGAUUACAAAAUGAAAGUAUAAGGGCCAAAUUGAUAAAAAAAAUGUACUAAAGUGGUAUUAAGCCUAUAAUAAAUAUUAUAUGUGUGUGUUUUUAAUAGGUUAGAAAAGAGAGAGAUGGAAAAGAGUGGUGGGGAAGUUAAGAAUAAGGUGACUUCAUCUUCAUGUGAGUUUCAAUUGAACCCAGCUUUUGCUUGCAAUAGUGGUUAAAGAUUCUAUUGCUUAAAUAAAUACACAGUAUAUAGAUUUUAUAUACUUCCCAUGUUAUUCCUACAAGACAACAUAUAAUCGUAAAUGAAUCGUCAUCAUUGCUCCAUCUUUGAAUGAUGUAUGAAUACAUUAUAUAGUCUAAAUCAUCAUUCAAUAUUUUAUCACACAACCUAAAUUUUACAUCUAUUUCCUUUCGCUCACAUUAUUAAUAAUUCUAUCACACACGUAAGCAUAUAGAAACCACGUAUUUAAAACACAGUUAUGAUUUUUAAAAUGAUAUUCAAUAAACAAUGAAACAUAUAAUUUUGACCUAACAAUAAUAUAAAGGACAAAAGUACCAUUGUUAUUUUUAUAAUUUCUUUAACUAGUUGGCGUCGAGUUGACUCGUAACGCCAACUUAAAAAUAUUAAAAUAGAGCUUUAGUUCACACUUUCACAUUUGCAAUUUUUGUUAUUCUUUAAAAUAAUGAAAAUAUAAAAAUACUCUCAGAAUGAUAUUGUAAAAGCUUGUUUUUCAGUGGUGUCAGAAACUGUGGCUCGAGGCCACCAAAUUCGGCGAGCAAGCUCGUAAAUUUUAUUAUUUAAUAUUUACGAGUCAAAUGUGGUUUCUAAAAAAUUUUGAAUUGGUAAUUUAAGUUUAAAAUGAAUUAUUAGGUUCGAGUGGUAAAACCCUAGGUCAAGUGGUUUUAGAAAAUGAGGUAUCGAGACCUCGUUUCUAUAAACCAAGCCGUAAAUAUUUUUAUAAAUAUUUAGGGAAUGUCAUUAAGGUGGUAUUAAAUUUUCGUUAAAAAUUUUUAAUAUUUCGAUAGUUAUUUAAUUAAAAUGGACUAAAUUAAAAAAUGUACAAAAUUUACUAAUUAUAAUAAAUGGCUUAAUUAAUAAAUAAGGAAGAAUUUAAGAAAUAAAAUAAAGUCAUUUAAUGGCAAUCUGGUAAAUAAAUUGAAAUUAAAAUAAAACAAAUUGAUUUUAAAGUUUUCUAUGCAAUUCUUCUUGAACAUUCGGCCAAAACCACCAUCAGAGAGAAAGUUUUAAGAUGGUUCUUUGUUUCAUUCAUGUGAGUUCAAUUCUUACCCGUUUUUUUGUAAUUUUUAUGUUUUUGAGAUUGUUAUAAUUAGGUCCAACUAAAUUAUACCUUAGUUUUUUAUUUUAUUAAAAAUUUUAGAAGUUACCAUUGAUGAAUAUUAGAGGUUUUUUUUUAUGAAUAACAUGGAUUUAGAGCUUUAAUUUUGUUGUAUGAUGAUUUUAUAAAGCGAUUUUGUUAAAUAUUAAUUUUAGGAUUAAAUUGUGAAAAGGUAAAAAUACAAGGGUUUGUUCUGAAAUUAUUGCAAAAAUGGGCUGUACUGAAAGCCAUGAUUAUUCAGCUAGCAUGAGUUUGCAUUAAAAAUGGUGAAUUUCCAUGUUUUGGACUCAGAGACUAAAUUGAAUAAAAGUAAAAUUUUAAGGGUAAUUUUGUAAAAAUGUCAAAAAUAACGAAAUUGCAUGAAAUGAAUUUUUGUAUUGUCUAAAUUAAAAUAUUGAAUGAAAUUAUUAAAUUAGAUCAAGAUCAAGUGGAAAAUCGAGGAAAAAUAGAAAAUUAUCAAAAUACCCCUGAAUCUUGGUAAUUCUGCAAUUUAGACAGGUAAGUUCGUACAUUUAAAAUUUAAAUUUUGUAUAAAUUGAUGAUUGGUAUUAGACAUAUAUUCUAUUGCUAGAAAUAAUUUAAUGUUCGAACCAUAAUAUUGAAUUGAACGCGAGAUUUGAGUACAUUCAUGGUUUGGCGUAUGACAGUAUUGGAGGAAGAUAUCGGCAAAUUACCCAAGUAAACCAGGGUUCAACAUUUUUUGCGAACUCUCGUGUUUUACUUUCUAUUCAACUCUUUCGAGCUUCUGUUCAACUCUUAUAAGUUUCUGUUCAACUUUUAUGAGUUUCUGUUCAGCUCUUACGAGCUUCUGUUCAGCUCUUACGAGCUUCUGUUCAGCUCUUACGAGCUUCUGUUCAGCUCUUACGAGCUUCUGUUCAGCUCUUAUGAGCUUUUGUUAACAAUGUACUCUUAUCCAUAAGUCGUUCUUCGAAUGGAAAAAUCUCGGGAGUUGUCUUGGAUGAUAAAUGUAUAUAAAGAAACGGUAAGAGAAUGAUGUGUAUUAUGAUAUAUAUAUAUGCAUAUCUUGAUAUGUUGAUACAUGGAAAUUAUGUAAGAUGAGACGAAUAAUAAACUCAAGUGUGAUAUGUUGAGAUAAUAAGGUUAUCGAUGUUGAAUUUAUAUGAAAUAUGUUCAAGAACGCUAACAAGUGUUGUUGUUUGAUGCUUAGGCAAGUGCCAAGUUAUUGGUUGAAUGAAAAUAUGUUUAAUUAUAAGAUGCAUUGAAAUGGUAAGUGCUUAUGAAAGAGUGGUAAGUUUUAAGUUAUGCAAUUUCUUAUAAAAUGACUUCUCAUAUGAUUAAUUUGAAAAAAGGAUAUGUUUAAAUGCACUAGCUUGUGGCUAUGGAGGUAUGAUAUGCUUAUGACUUGUGUGUUAUGCCUAUGGAAUGAGUGUGGAAAGUAAACAAGUGCAAAUGAGAAUAAAGGAAUUUGGAAGGGUAUAAAGUUGUUUAAAACUCUACUAUACUAGAAAUAAUAUGUAUACGUGAUGCUAUGGAUUUACUCAUUUUGUGAGUUGUUGAAUAUGGUUUCUUGAAUCGUGUGGUAUCAAUAGAUGUUUAUUCUUGAUAAGUAUAAAUUUCAUAAUGAAAUGAAUUGAUACGAUUAAAGUUUAUACGAUCUUACUAAGCAAUCAUUGCUUACGUAUUUGUUUUCCUUUAUUUUUUAGAUUAUUGGAAGCUCGAUUGGGUUGGAAGUUUAUCGGAGAUAUAUCACACUAUCCAUCGGUUCUAUCGGUAUUUCUGGAUGUUUGAUUUUGGUUAUAAUGGCUAAAUGUUGGAUUAUAUGUGUUUUAUUGGGGACUAGCCACUUAUUUGGCUUGUAUUUUGGUAUUUUGGUAGGUGCAUAAUUUGCCUUAUAAUGUUGAUGAGUGAUUUGAUUAGUGGUUAAAUGAUGAAAGGUAAAAUAGUAGUUGAAUAUGCAUAGUGAUGAUUGUAGGUUGACAAUAAAUUGGGUGAGAAAUAUGGCUUGUAAAAUGACCUAUUUCGUCCACACGGGUAGAGACACGGGUGUGUGUCUCAGCCGUGUGUGACACACGGCCAGGUAACACGGCCGUGUGUCCCCUGUAUUUUUUUUUAAAUUGCGGAAGUCAGUAUGCUCACACGGCCUAGCACAUGGGCGUGUGACCCAAGUCAGAUAGUUACAUGGGUACGAAGACGGGCUGGACACGGCUGUGUGUCCCUAUUUCGAAUGCCCACACGACCGUGUGUCCCCUGCAACUUUGAAAACUUUUAUUGUUCUUUGAAAAAAAUAAAAAUUCUUUGAGUGCCCGAUUUAGUCUCGACUUGUUCCUAUUGCAUAUUUUGGGCCUCGAGGGCUCGUAUAAAGGAUAAUAUGUUAGAUUUUAAUUGGUUUCUUACGUAAAUGUAAUAUGAUAUGAAAUAUCUGUUAAUUUAAUUCGUAAACUCUGGUAAUGCUCUGUAACCCUGUUCCGGCGACGAAUAUGGAUUAGUAGUGUUAUAAAUAUAACUUAUCUAAAAUAUUUAAGGUUGUUUUAGUAAUUUCCUUGAUUGGAGUGAUGCCGAGUUGACUUGUAAUGCUAAUUCAAUCACACACUUAAAUAAUAGUAUAAAGAACUAUUAUUUUUAAAAUUCAAUAAAAAUUAAUUAUAUAUUUGACUGUAAAAAAAAACCAAUAAUUAUUAGGAAUGAAGUUUGGGAAACUUUGAAGUUCAUGUUGAAGUUUUAUCCUAUAUGAGAUAUUAUUAUUAUUAAUCAAAGAUGGAGUAUGUAAUAUUAAAACUAUAUUAAUUGAUUGUAAUUAUAAUUGUAACCAAAAAGUAGUAGAAUUAAAUGACAUUUCUUAUUUAUCUAUAACUAUUAAUUAAAAAUAUUUUAAAAAUGAAAAAUCAAACAUAAAAAAUAAUGAUAGUGUUUGCAUUUUAGCCCGUUAAUUUUCAUGAUGAUUACGGGCUCCAAUUUAGAAAUCACAAUGUGGGUAAUUAUUAACAAAGUUGGUUAUUUAAAAAAAAGAAAUUAUGUUAUAUAAAGAUUGAAGAUGUAAAACAACACAUUAUCCGCCGUUCACUUUUUACUAAUUCAAGUUAUAAUGUGGUUAUCUUUGUCCACAUCUCCUCUCCUAUUUUGUAUAAUACAAGUACUUCCAAAUGAAUCCAGUCGGUUUUGUGAUUCAUGUCAUAAAAACUAUAUCUACUGCUAAUCACCAUUCUUAUUUCUUUUUUUAAUAUUACUCCAUUAAACAUCCUCAACUUGCAACAACAAUUGUAAUAUUCUGUGAUAAGUAUAAUUAGAUAAAUAUUAUUUAGGUUGCGGUUUCGCCAAAACAAAACCUGUUUCAAACCAAAAUUAAUGAUUUUUUAAAAAAAAAACAGUGUUUUGAUAAACUUAAAAAAUGAAGUACUGAAAAUUUAAGUUAUAAAAUUGUUUGAUAUAUUACUUAAAAUUAAUUACGGAAUAUAAUUAGAUUAUUUGAUAAAUAUAAAAUAUAUGCUACAUUUAAUCCUUAAUUUUUAAACAUUCCACCUUAUUCUAAACAAAAAUAAAAUUUUAUAAGAUUUAAAUUAAAUUAAAUUAAAUUUUCUACACUUUUUUUUAUAGAAAAGAAAUUCUAUCAAAUUGUUUUAAUUUAGAUGAUCAAACAUGUGUAAAAAUAAUAAAUUAAUUGAUUUAAUUUUUUCAAUGAUUUAUCAAAACCAAAAUAAAAUUAAAACUUCAAGAAUAUUUAAUAGUAUACUUCAAAUUAAAGUUUAAAAAAAUUGAAUUAUCAAAGACAAUGCUUUUAAUAAUGUUUUGAAUUUAAAAAUAAAAAGGAAACGUGGCAAUCUGCUCCGCACUCCCAAGCUUAUCCUCUGUUUUCGCUCUUAGCAGCGUCUAAUUUUACGUGUCCCUCCAACAAUAUUUCACCAAGUUAUUCAAUUAAAUAAAAUAAGUUUUCUUUAUUAUUUUCUCUUCAUUAUUCACUACAAGAUCGCCGGCUUAUCAAAAAAGACCGCUUUUUUUUCGUUUUUCAAGUCUUACGUUUACUCAAACGAAGAGUUUCAAAAUCUUUCUCUCUUGCCUUCCUUCAUAUUCGUUGCUUUCGGAAGCAGUUAUCUCUGAUUCCUCCGAGUACAUCGACAUCGUUUUUGCUUUCUUCUUUUCUUCUUCGUAUCGCCUUCCGGCACGUCUUCCGUUACCGGACUUAGUCGUCGUCAAAGAGAGGCUUAGAUCCGACGCCGCCGAAGCCGAUUGAUUGUCCAUCAUCAUCAUCCUCAUCAAAGGAUUGGACUCGGCGUAGCGGCUUGGGAAGUGGUACGACUCGUCGCCACAGAAACGAUCAGAUGACUCGUCGCAACUUGGCCUCCAAACUCCGGCUGAAAUCUCCGAAACAGGCCGUAAGGAUCCGCCUCGAAGAACCGUAUCCACCGCCGCCUGACAGAUAUGCCAGUUCCCACUGGAUAACAGCCCUACCGCUCCGUUCACCGGAUUCACGGUACGACCACAUGCCUCGAACAAUAAAGACUGAAACAAAGCUAACAAAAUUCCAAAAAAACAAAAACACUCUUAAAUAUACGUAAAGAAUCAAAUCAGAAAUUCGAUAACGUAAAUAGAAAAUGAAGUAUUCUUGUAAAAAUUACCAGGGCGUUGGGAUUCAGGUACAGAAGAGAUAAGAGAAAGUAAGUCACUACGGCCGAAAAACUUGGCGAGAAAUAAGGUGGCGUUGCCUUGGGCUUCGGGGGAUUCGAUCCAACGUAAGCUUGACCGUAACACACAUGUCUCCCUGCACCCUUUUCGGAGCACUCGGCAACCGUUGCAGCUCAUAUUUCCCCCCUCAACUAACCACCGUCUGAUCUUGAAAAGAAAAGAAAAAACUGAUCCUUCUAUUUGACCGGUGAUUACUUGGGUUUCAAGCAAAGCAGGUAAAGAAAGUGGGCAAAAGGAGUGAGUGAGCUUGAAAAAAGCACAAGAGAAAGAAGAGAGGAGGAGGGUGGUAUUUUAAUGAACGUGAUAGUUUAGGGGUUGAGUUAAGUUAACUGUGGUUGGGUUAAGGGGUAUUGUUAUUUUAUUUGGAUUUAUGACGGUGGGGGGGAAUAUGAAUAUCUUCCAAACUCUGGGCACGAGCGGCUCCGUGUUUCCGCUUCCUUUUUUAUGUUUUUAUGACCACCGUUGGAUUCCAAACUUUUUGAUUGAUGUGGAUCGUUGGAUUAGUUUUGUCCAUCCAAAUCUUUUCAAUCUUUUUUGUACUUCCCUCUUAGUACGAUUUAUCAAACACUAGAAGCCGGCAGAAUCUGAUCCUUGCUCUUCUUCUUAAUUACACCCUUUAAUUCACCAGUUAAAAUUUGAUUAUUACACUAAAAAAUUACUUCUCAACUAUUGUGUGGAGUAAAAUUCAAAAAGAAGGCAUAGCUUUAUGAGAGUAAAAGAAAGGUGCUGUAUUAUGGGUAAUGAUGAUAAUUUUGAUAAUAUUAGUGGGGGAAUAUAAUCUUAAUUGAGAUGGGGAUUGAAAUUGUACAUAUAGAGUAGUUGAGGACAAAACCAGACAACAAUAUCCUUAUCAGCACAGGUUCCACUUUAGCAUUAGUCAAGAAACAGUAAUGGAACAUGUUGGUUGCUAUAGGAAUAUAAUUUGAUUUUGUCGACAAACCUACCUAGUUCUCAGCUAAGCUUAACGCCACCCAACCUUUGUUUUUAUUUUCUUUAGCUGUCUAAAUUCUAUUUGUUGCAUACACAGAUCAAAGGUCUAACAAGCUUCGAAUCUGUCUCCCACCAUCUACAAAAUGAACUCGACGAACCAAUGGGCCUUAUCUUUGGAACAUGAUUAUUGUCAUUAUUAUUAUUAUCUUCUUCUUAUUAUCUGUUACAGAACAUGAAACCUUAUUCGUCAGUCUAGGAUUUGAAACCGGUCGAUGGCAGAUUGUGAAGGAGCUGCCCAUUCCAUGGCAGAUAAACAACAGAAUAAUUGGUUGAAAGCAUCUAUGUUCAGGAUUGGGUAAGGAAUUUAUAUUCCUCUGCUGCACAUCAGGCUUUUGUCUCAUUGUAUUUAUGUAUUUGGCAUGCCAUUGCAGUCAGUUUUACUUGAGACCUACACUGGUAAAUGGUGAUAGAAAAGAUCAAUGACCAGAUUAUUUUUAGUUUCGUUAAUAAUAAUAUUAAUAAUUAUUCUUUUUUCAAUUGUCAUUAAUCUGAAAAUACAAAUAAAUACCAACCGUUUCCAAAUGACUUAUUUACUUUCUUAUAUAUCAAUUCUAAGCCCUUUGACAUUGAGAAAGGAUGAUUUUUUACCUACUUCAUAAUAGUGAAAAUAUUAUCAUAGCAUGCGUUCUUAAAUGUUGAAGUUUAUAUAGAUGCACAUGCACCAGUUAUACUCAUGUUUGAUCCUUCUAAGUCAUAUUAUAUAUGAAAAUAAAAACUAGAUCAGAUUUUUACGUGCACUGUAUUCUUUUUUUUUGGUGUAGGGGGGAGCCUUUUUGUGCAAAGUAGUGGUGGUGGUGAUGGUGGAGAAUGGAGUGUGUGGGUGUCCAUGAAAAUGACAUCAUUGUUUCUUUGUCUAAAUUAUCAGCAGAUAGUUCAGCGGUGUGUAGCAAUGUAUGAAAGUUCUCUAUAGUAUAUAUACUAUUACUUUAGCAUGCGUCUUAUCAGAUACUACAGAAGUGAAGAAAUCUGUCUCAUUUAAAUGCUAUUAUUCCUUUAGUUUGCCUAGGAAGUGCAAGGUAUAAUUGUACUAUUUUUAGUUUGCAUGAUUUAUCAAAGGAUAAUAUGUAGAUGGAUAAUGGGAAACUUGAGUGAUUGCCCAAGGUUGAAAAAGAUAGGAAUUUUGAAGCUUAGCUAGCCACCCUACUUCUUUCAGCCACUGAAGCUCCAAAAUCUGUCUAUUUGCGUUCAAAAUGAAAUUUAAUGAUAAUAGUGAUCUCUGUAUUGAAUAUAUAAGGUAAUAGUAAUCUCUAUAUUUUCAAAUUCCAGCUCAAUUUUAGAUGCAGACGGGGCGUCUCGGCAUCUACUAGCUCAGUUAAACCCUGCAGCCAUAGACUUGAGCUUAGUUUGGGCCUCUCGAGGCUUCAAGAGCUGUUUAUUAAGUUUAUGUUAUUAUAAAUUUGUAUGAAAGAUCCAGCUAAAACGACUACUAGCCCGUCUAGCUCAGUCGGUAGAGCGCAAGGCUCUUAACCUUGUGGUCGUGGGUUCGAGCCCCACGGUGGGCGAAUGUUUUUCCCCUUUUGGNNNNNNNNNNNNNNNNNNNNNNNNNNNNNNNNNNNNNNNNNNNNNNNNNNNNNNNNNNNNNNNNNNNNNNNNNNNNNNNNNNNGGUGUUUGAUAGAAGAAGCUUAAGGUCCAGGUUUGACAACAUCAGAUCAUAUUCCAUUCCACUUUUGAAGGCAUUGGUUGAUUGCAAAUCUCGUUUUUGUCCUCAAGAAAAGGACGCAAGCAAAUUGAAAACCCCUUUGACGGAGCAUUUUAUUUUGUUAAUGGUAAAUGUGGAAGCCAGAUAUCCUCCACUUGUGAUUCCCCAUCCAAAAAUGCACUACUCAUCAACGCCCUUCUUCCAUCAUCUCGGCUCCAUAUCAAACUUUCAUUCAACACUUAAACUACAAACCUUCAAAGAAAAAAGAAAAAAAAACAAGCUCCCUUUCCAUCACUAAUCCCACUUACAACAACAACAAGUGGUGUGGGGUGGAAGGUGGAGUUUCUAUAACUAAAAGCCUCUGCUUGAAUUCUUCAACUAUAUCCUCAUGAAAGAAGAACCUACAGCAAAGUUGACUUUAGAGAUGUGUUUAAACUAUUUCAAGUUUUUAGAGGCAACUAUAUUAAAAUUUUAUCUGAUAUAAGUUUUGGGUUUUGAUAGCUUAUAAAUAUCUAAAAUGAUCAAGUUAAUUUGGACCACCUUAUUAUUCUUUUCCGUAGAUGAUAAACAAGUUGUGGAAUUGCAGUGUAUCUGGUCUAGUUUUCAAUUGUGAAAAAUAAUAGAGAGAAGAGGUAGAGUUGCAUUUGGGUUAAACCACUUGCCAAAACCCGAUUAUAUAGUUUCAUGGUAAGGUAUAUCUAAAGCUAUGGGUGGAGGAGGACCACCGUUUCCCUCUUGUGAAAGAUAGCUAUUAUUCAAGUCAUUUUUUGACUUCAGCUUUUUCGUUUGUUUACUUUUAAUUUGUCUUUGCCCACCAAUCUAGAACGCCGACCUUCAUACCCAAAGUCAUACCGUACGGUCAAAUGCUCACAUACAAAGAACUUGGAGCCCCAUUGAACCUUCUUAAACCAUUGCCCCUGUGAAGUUUUGGCUUUGGAUAUUUUAGGUAUUUUGACACAAAAUUAAGAAUUUUAUAGCAAAAUGGGACUCUUAGAUUAAAAUUUACUAUUCAGCAUUUGUCAUCAACAUCUGUCAGAAGAAAUACAAAAUUAACUGACAUAAAAAGAAAUAAUCUAAGAGUUUUAUUUGAUUUUUUUUAAAAAAAAAUCUAAAGCAUCCUAAACUAUAAUUUUGAUUCAAAUAGAAUAUAUAUUGAGAUGUUUUGUAAAAUAAAUUGUGAUCACUGUUGUAUGUCCUAACACUCAUCAUCAUACUAUUACUCUAAAAUUAAAAAAUAAAAAUAAAAAACAGUAUUUAAUUGUAUUUGGUAUAUAGCACUUUCAUUUCAUUAGUUAAGCUGAUUAAACAAAAUAAUCCACCCUUUAUAGAAUAGAAUAUAUAGAGUCGGUUUGCCAACCACCUUAUACAUUAAUCAUUGAGCUACUAUGUACUCCAUUUUAUCUUAAUUAAACCUAAGACAUUUAUCUGACCGACCUAUUAUAUCAAUGAGGAUUGAGAUGAGACCACAGCCACAAAUGCAUCUAUCAAAGGAGAGCUUAUCUCUUCUCAACUUGGAUUUAUUGACGAAAAAAAAAAUUCUUUAUUACAAGGUUUUGCCAAACAAAGCCCCCCUUAUUGCAUUAGCAAAGGCAACACUGUCUGCUACUCUAGUUGACUUCACCGCACUUUUUUUUUUUUUGUUUAAUUUAGACUUUCAGCUUCCUUUUUUAUGAAAGAAGAUCAUCUCAUAAAAGGGGCUUUUGUUUUCCCAACUUUGGCUGUGAACCAUAAGUAAAACUAAUUACGGCAUAAGGCAUAUCUUUGUUGUUUGUUUAAUACGUGUAAGCUGUAUGUUUUUGAAUUUAUUAAGGCGGAAAAUUCGGUUGGAAAUAGGGAAGGCGGAACUCUACUAGAAGAGGAUUUUGCCAACUCACCAAAUUCCUGCUAAUCUCUUUCAGAUGGCAAAUUAAACAAGGAAUUAAUUCCUUACGCCCUUGCCUUAAUUACUGUAUAAAAUAUAUGUAAGAAUGGUUAGCCACCGCUACCACUUUUGGGAGUUGGAGUAGACAAAUGGUGGCAUCAUAAUUCACUAAGAAGAAUCCGAAUCACUUUCCUAUCAAUCAUUCACUGAAUAACCACAACCAAUAAUAAUACUCUUUAAAAAGUUUAUAUAUAUAAAAAAGGAGGCCCCUUACAUUGAGCAAAAGGCCAUCUACCUGUCAUCCUAAUCUCUUCCCCUCACACGGAAAACGGCGUGCCAAAACAAAACAGAGAGCUCUCCACUCCAGCUCCAAAGCUCCCAUCCCCCAUGCCUAUCUUCUUAUCCACAUGCACCAAACAUCCCUUCUCCUCACCUCCACUUCCCAACACUCGUUGAAAUAUUUUAAAUAAAACUAUAAAUUGAGAAUAUUAGGCCAAGAAUCGAUGAAAGCAUGCAACAUGGACAUGAUCCUCUCAUUCCCUACCAGUUAUAAACAUCCAUCCCUUUCAUGCAACAAACAACACUCCUUGAAUUGCCACCUCAUUUAUUGCGCACGUUCACUGUAUUAAAAUAAAAUUUUACAACUGUAAGCCUAAGAUAAGUACCAAAUUGUGAAGAAUUAAUUGAAUUCACUAAAUAAUAAACACAGUAGCAAUUGAGACUGAUGAUGAGUUGUUCAAGUGCUAUGUACAGAGGCCAAAAACGAAAAUUGUUUCACCAAAACAAAAGAA